AUUGAACGCUGGCGGCAGGCCUAACACAUGCAAGUCGAGCGGAUGAGUGGAGCUUGCUCCAUGAUUCAGCGGCGGACGGGUGAGUAAUGCCUAGGAAUCUGCCUGGUAGUGGGGGACAACGUUUCGAAAGGAACGCUAAUACCGCAUACGUCCUACGGGAGAAAGUGGGGGAUCUUCGGACCUCACGCUAUCAGAUGAGCCUAGGUCGGAUUAGCUAGUUGGUGAGGUAAAGGCUCACCAAGGCGACGAUCCGUAACUGGUCUGAGAGGAUGAUCAGUCACACUGGAACUGAGACACGGUCCAGACUCCUACGGGAGGCAGCAGUGGGGAAUAUUGGACAAUGGGCGAAAGCCUGGUCCAGCCAUGCCGCGUGUGUGAAGAAGGUCUUCGGAUUGUAAAGCACUUUAAGUUGGGAGGAAGGGCAGUAAGUUAAUACCUUGCUGUUUUGACGUUACCAACAGAAUAAGCACCGGCUAACUUCGUG
This 484-nucleotide ribosomal RNA is filed under the name uncultured bacterium. RNAcentral's name for it is "partial 16S ribosomal RNA". It matches the Rfam family "Bacterial small subunit ribosomal RNA", at positions 30 to 507 of the family's 1533-position model. The record is from RNAcentral.